GCGGCUGAGUGGAAGAGCCUCUGCUUUGCGCGCAGAAGGCCUCGGGUUCAAUCCCCGGCAUCUCCC
RNAcentral lists this transfer RNA (66 nucleotides) under Sphaerodactylus townsendi. RNAcentral describes it as "tRNA-Ala". It matches the Rfam family "tRNA". From Rfam's summary of the family: Transfer RNA (tRNA) molecules are approximately 80 nucleotides in length. Their secondary structure includes four short double-helical elements and three loops (D, anti-codon, and T loops). The record is from RNAcentral. Lineage: Eukaryota; Metazoa; Chordata; Lepidosauria; Squamata; Sphaerodactylidae.